This 420-nucleotide ribosomal RNA is filed under the name Fusobacteriota bacterium. RNAcentral describes it as "Fusobacteria bacterium partial 16S ribosomal RNA". It matches the Rfam family "Bacterial small subunit ribosomal RNA", at positions 355 to 776 of the family's 1533-position model. Lineage: Bacteria; Fusobacteriati; Fusobacteriota. The record is from RNAcentral.
UGGGGGAUAUUGCACAAUGGGCGAAAGCCUGAUGCAGCGACGCCGCGUGGGGGAUGAAGGCCUUCGGGUUGUAAGCUUCUUUUGCUCUGAACAAGGCAUGCCUUUGGGGUGUGUUGAGUGUAGGGGUUGAUUAGCGCCGGCUAACUACGUGCCAGCAGCCGCGGUAAUACGUAGGGCGCGAGCGUUGUCCGGAAUUAUUGGGCGUAAAGGGCUUGUAGGUGGCUGGUUGCGUCUGUCGUGAAAGCUCAUGGCUUAACUGUGGGUUUGCGGUGGGUACGGGCUGGCUUGAGUGCAGUAGGGGAGGCUGGAAUUCCUGGUGUAGCGGUGGAAUGCGCAGAUAUCAGGAGGAAUACCGGUGGCGAAGGCGGGUCUCUGGGCUGUUACUGACGCUGAGGAGCGAAAGCGUGGGGAGCGAACAGG